Molecule: ribosomal RNA, 511 nt
Filed under: uncultured bacterium
Lineage: Bacteria
Description: bacterial SSU rRNA
Rfam family: Bacterial small subunit ribosomal RNA
Source: RNAcentral
CUGGCUCAGAACGAACGCUGGCGGCGCGUCUUAAGCAUGCAAGUCGAACGGCAAGAGGUAGCAAUACCUCCUAGAGUGGCGGACUGGUGGGUAACACGUGGGUGACAUACCCUUCAGAUGGGGAUAGCUAUUAGAAAUAGUAGAUAAUACCGAAUACGAGCACAGGGGUUAGAGAUCUGUGAGGAAAGGAGCUAAGGCUCCGCUGAAGGAAUGGCCUGCGGCCCAUUAGCUAGUUGGUGAGGUAAGAGCCCACCAAGGCGAUGAUGGGUAUCCGGCCUUAGAGGGUGAACGGACACAUUGGGACUGAGAUACGGCCCAGACUCCUACGGGAGGCAGCAGCUAAGAAUAUUCCGCAAUGGACGAAAGUCUGACGGAGCGACGCCGCCGUGGAUGAAGAAGGCCGGAAGGUUGUAAAAUCCUUUUGAAACUGAAGAAUAAGCGUUGUAGGGAAUGACAGCGUGGUGACAGUAGGUUUUGAAUAAGCAACGGCUAAUUACGUGCCAGCCGCCGC